UACGAAGGUGGCGAGCGUUACUCGGAAUGACUAGGCGUAAAGGGCAGGUAGGCGGUUUGAUAAGUCGGCUGUGAAAGCUCCUGGCUUAACUGGGAGAGGUCAGCCGAUACUGUCAAGCUUGAGUAUGGGAGAGGGUACUGGAAUUCCCGGUGUAGCGGUGAAAUGCGCAGAGAUCGGGAGGAACACCAAUGGCGAAAGCAGGUACCUGGACCAUUACUGACGCUCAGCUGCGAAAGCUAGGGGAGCAAACAGG
Molecule: unclassified non-coding RNA, 253 nt
Filed under: uncultured Elusimicrobia bacterium
Lineage: Bacteria; Pseudomonadati; Elusimicrobiota; Elusimicrobia
Description: contains 16S-23S intergenic spacer region
Rfam family: Bacterial small subunit ribosomal RNA
Source: RNAcentral